AGUGAACGCUGGCGGUAGGCCUAACACAUGCAAGUCGAACGGAAGCACAGUUAGUGCCUGCUCUACUGGAUGGCGAGUCGCGGACGGGUGAGGAAUACAUUGGAAUCUACUCUUUCGUGGAGGCUAACGUAGGGAAACUUACGCCCAUAUCGCACACGACCUACGGGUGAAUGCUGGAGAUCUUUGUCCCUUGCGCGAUUGCUUGAGCCGAUGUCGGAUUAGCUAGGUGGCGGGGUCAAGGCCCACCACGGCGACGAUCCGUAGAUGGCGUGUGAGGAUGAUCGGCGACACUGGAACGGGGACACGCACCAGACGCCUGCGGGAGGCAGCAGUGGGGAAUAUGGGACAAUAGUGGCAAGCCUUAUCCAGCCAUACCACGUGGGUGAAGAAGACGUUGGGUUGGUAAAGCCGUUUUGUUGGUAAAGAAAAGCAGCAGGUUAAGACCCCGCGGAACUGACGGUACCCAGAGAAUAAGCACCGGCUAACUUCGCG
Molecule: ribosomal RNA, 492 nt
Filed under: uncultured bacterium
Lineage: Bacteria
Description: partial 16S ribosomal RNA
Rfam family: Bacterial small subunit ribosomal RNA
Source: RNAcentral